UCCCUGGUGGCUCAGAUGGUAAAGCAUCUAUCUGCAAUGCAGGAGACCUGGGUUCAAUCCCUGGGUUGGGAA
Molecule: transfer RNA, 72 nt
Filed under: Bos taurus (domestic cattle)
Lineage: Eukaryota; Metazoa; Chordata; Mammalia; Artiodactyla; Bovidae
Also listed under: 4 other names
Rfam family: tRNA
About the family: Transfer RNA (tRNA) molecules are approximately 80 nucleotides in length. Their secondary structure includes four short double-helical elements and three loops (D, anti-codon, and T loops).
Source: Rfam by way of RNAcentral